RNAcentral lists this long non-coding RNA (12557 nucleotides) under Vitis vinifera (wine grape). RNAcentral describes it as "long non-coding RNA (VVIN_LNC005606)". Lineage: Eukaryota; Viridiplantae; Streptophyta; Magnoliopsida; Vitales; Vitaceae. The record is from RNAcentral.
UCAUGCAAGUUAAAUCCAAUCCUUCUAUUGAUGACUACUGCGAACUUUGGAAUAACUGGGAAAAUUCAAGGGAGCAACUGUCACGUUCGGAGUGUUGUGCUUUCUGGGCCCAUGUUUCAAAGCACUGGAGUAAAAACACACAGAAAACUCUUGCCGACAGCUUGUCAAAACUGCCAGUUGAAUCAGGAUCGGAGAGAAUAAUGCUGUUUGACAAACGUGAUGUUUUCAUUGCAGAUGACCUCCAGCUGAAGUAUCUUUUCCAACAAUCUUCGCCUCACUCAAUUUUUGUGUGGUAUCCCCAGCCAAGCAUCCCUUCCUUGCCCCGGACUAAGCUGCUUGACAUCUACAGGGAAAUUGGUGUUCGUUCUAUCUCUAAAUCUGUACAGAAGGAAGAAAUCUCCAAGUUGGAGGCCAGUGAACUCAAGCAAGUGUCUCAGAAGGAAACUUUGAUCGGAAAAGGCCUGCUGAAACUCAUUCUUGGCUUUCUCGCUGGUCCUUCUAUUGAAAUGGAAGCAGGACAAAGGCUGGAAGCUGUCAAAGGCCUUCUCAAUCUUAAGGUGUUUGAGACGGAGGGGCAAACUGCAGCAAGCUACAGAUUGUCAAUGUCUUCUGGGGAAACCAUGGACGUUGAUGCAAGAGGAAUGAUGCGCUGGGACCGGGAGGAUUCCAAGCUUUUCAUGCAGAAGAUGGAUAUAUCGGGUGGACAUAAAAAUAAAAUCGAAUAUGCUACAAUCUUCGCUGAAGUAAUAUCAGAGGGCGUCUUACAGGAGAAAGAAGACCAUAUAUCUGAUCUCGCCGAACUGAUCAAGUUGGCAUUCUUCCUGGAUUUUGAUGAGGAAGCAGUUGGGUUCUUGAUGAGAUCCAAGAAUCUCCAAGUUUUCUUGGAGGACGAGGAGCUUCUCUCUUCAGCCCUUUCUCUCGACUAGGUAUGCAUUCUAUGCCAUGACCAAUAAAUAGUUGAAAGUGUCAUUUUCCUUAUAUUUCCCCGUUUGAAGUGUGUACUGGUGUGUGCUAUUAGAAUAUUAUAUAAUGUAUAUGAAUCUGGUGUGAAAUGGCUGAUUUAGGCAGCCUAUAUUGUGAUAAUUAUGCCCUUGUGCUUGCCUUUUUUAUUAAAUCGAUUUAAUAUUAAUUGACAUGCAAGAGACAAAAUUAAAUAUUUAAAAGGAGAUGCAUGUGAAGAUCUAAUCUACUCAUAUGUUUUCAAACACUAAAAGUAAAAAAAAAAUUAUAUUGUAAGAGUUCAACUUUAACAUAUCAAAUUAUAAAAAAAUAAAAAAAUUACAAUAUAUCAUCCUUAAAAUAGAUGGUUGCAAUUUUUUUUUAAUCCUCAUUAAUUAUUUUUUAAAUGACUAUAUUAUUUGCUAUAGAGAAUACUCCAUCUCUAUACCUAAAUUUAACACUUGAAGAAAAAUUUUCUUCGGCUUUGAACCCCGUGAAACUCGGUUGCAUUAGAAGUUACAAAUAAAAAUGAUUUCAUUACUUUAAUAAGAUAAUAUGAGAGUAUUUGAUAUAUAAAAUUAAUAAAUGAACAUAGUCUAAUAUUUAAUUUAAUUUAUUAACCAUAUUAUGGAUUUUUUAAUUAAUUUAUUUAAUGUCAAAAAAUCUUUUUUUAGGUCUAAUAAACCCAAAAAAAAAAAAAAUUAAAACAUGUUAGGUAUUGUUUUGUUUAAUUGUUAUUAGAUUAUUAGAAAACAAUUUGGGAGUAGUUAUUAAUCGUUUUCAAAAACAAAAUUAUAUUUGAUAUUUUAAAAAUAGUUCAUUGAUUUUGUUCUCAAUGAAAGUACCAUAAACUUUAACAUAAAAUAUAAUUUUUUUUCUAAAUGUGUUCUAUAUUUUUAAUUGUUUAUUAAGACAUUUGAAAAUAUGUUAAAUUUAUUUUCAAAAUAAUAUGUUAUCAAAAUAAAUUUUGAAAAACGGUUUUGUUUCAAAAGUCUACCAACUAUUUUCUAGGUUGGAAAAUUGGUUUUAGUUAUACAAUAAUAAUUUCCAUACGGAUGCUUGAGAUAUGGAUUUAGUACCAUAUUAAAUUUAUGUAUUUAAAUAUAAAUCAUUGAAUAAAAAUAUAGCAAAAAAAAAGAUAUUUAAAUGUAAAUAUAUUGGACCACGUUAUAAAAAAAUAAAAAAAACAAGAGAACGAGACUAUUACAAGUAUCGAAGUAUGAAAUUCAAGGUGCCCACAUAAACCUUUUUUAUUGAGCACCAUUCUAUAUAAAGAUUUAUUUGAAAACUUAUUUUGAAAAUAGCUUUGUGUUUAAAUGUCUUUAUAGUUGAGAAACAAUAAAUUCAUAUUUCCUUUUUUUUCAACUUCCAUGCAAUACCUAUAGAGUCACUGUGAUUCUUGCAAAUGAGUUGAACUUGAAUCCCAAAAGUGAAUAAAAAAUUGGAUCUACAUUGAAUUGUCUUGUUGAUCUACGUUAAAUUGCCUCAUCAAUUCUUUUGAGUAAAAACUUGAUCUUAGACUUAAUUCAAACAAAAGGAGUACAUUAUGCUAAUGUAUCUUGAAUGAUCCACAUCUCAAGGUAGUUGGCCCAAUAUAUCGGGAUGAUUGGCUUAAUGAGCAUAGGGGUGGUUGACCCAAUAAGCACAUUGAAGAAUUAAUGUGACUAGUCUUGAUGUUUUUAUAGGGAUGGUAAUGGAUAAGUUUUUUUUGUACCAUCUAUGCCCAUGGGACAAAUUUGAAAGAAAUGUAUAUUGAAUGGGCUUUAUUGUUGUUUUUUCUUAAAAAAAAAAAAAAACUAGAGUCAUCAAAGAAGGUUUUCUUACCAAACCUAAUUAUAUAAAAUUAGAUAAAAAUAAUUUCAUUUCAUUUUCUUUUGACAAAAUUAAAAUUAAAAAUUUUGAAAAAUAAUUUAAAAAUUAAAGGAGAUAUGAGAGAGGUAAGCAUGGGAAAUUGCUAGGGUGCAACUUGGGCGGGUUGGAUUGGGCCAACCCAAACCUAACCCUCUAUUUGGACGGGCUUAGAUAGAUGUUUUUAAUAUUUGGGUUGAACUUGUAUUAAGUUUUCUCAAUAUGAACCCAACCCAAACCGGUUUAAUGUUUUUAUACUUGUAUAAUAAUAUUCAUCUCCUUUUCAAAUUUUAAAAAUAUCAAAUUAUAAAUAUAUCAUAUACUUCUCAUUUAUAUAUAUAUAUAUAUAUAUAUAUAUAUAUAUAUAUAAGUUUAUUUUUAUUAUAAAAUAUGAAAUUUUGUACCACUAUGGUAACUUAUGGAUGAUCAUCCAUAAAUAUAUUUUAUAACUCUUUAUAAAAGGAAGAGACUUCUAAUGAAAUUUAAUAGAGUUUUCUAAUACAUUCUAUUAUCUCUUUCUUGAUUUCUUCUUCUCUCAUUUUGUUUUAUAAUAAUUUUUACUUUUUUAUUGUUAUCUUGAAAUUUUGUCUUAUUUUUUAUAUAAAUAUAUAUAAUUUAAAAAAAAAACCAUUAUGAAUAAAUUUUAAAUUAUGCAACCCAACCAAUUCCACUCUUGUCCAAUCAACUUGAGUUUAAUUCUAUUAACCCAAUUUUAAUCCAAGUUUAAAAAAACAAGAUUGAGCACUUCAAGUUAGAAAUCGGAUUAAAUUGAGUUUGGGUUAAUCAUUUCUUAAUUUAAAUUAAACUCAAGUUAACUUUCAACCUAUUCAAGUUGUAACCUUAGAAAUUCUAUACCUAUCUCAAUCUACCAUUUUUUAGUUAAAACUUUUUUUAGGAUGGAAAUAUGAGUAAUUUUAAAUAAUAUAAGUACCCAUCCUCAUCCAUUGAGUUGCUAUCCCUAGUGUUUUUAUAGGAUUGCCACCCUCUAUUUUGAGUAUUUUUAGAAGAUUGUCGGUCUCGUUAUUAGCUCAUAUUUAUAGUUUAAUCCUCUUGGAGACUCCCGUUCUACUUGUACAGUCACUUAUAUGUUUUUUUAUCCAUCUCCCUUUGGAAAAUGAGAGGAAAAGACAAUGCAAGAACUCUAUGGUCCAUAAAGACUCGGCGUGGAGGAAUGGUGACGUCACUUUCUAGUACAAUGGGCCAAACUUUUUUCUCAUUUUCCACUAGGUGGGUGCCUUUUAAAAUCUUUAAAUUUUUAUUUUUUAUUUUUGUUCAUUCUUUAUUAAUUCCUUCUCCACUUUCUAAUUCCUUCGCCCGGAGGUUUCCCCUUUGGUUAAAGUUAAUCAUUAAAGGUAAAAAAAGAUUAAAUAAAAUAACAUUUUCAUUAAUAAUCGCAUUAAAGUGAAUCAUCAAAGUUAAUAUGAUUAAAUAAUAUAAUAUUUUGACUAAUAAUUAAGGAUUUAAUUAAAAAUUAUUCUUGAAAUUAGUUUUAUAUCACUUCUUAAUUGUUUUUAGAAAUAGAAUUACAUUUGAUAUUUGAAAAAUAGUUUUUUUUUUUAUCUUAUUUUUCAUUAAAGUAUUAUUAGCAUAAAAGUUUUUAAAAUAUUACUUAUAUUUUCAAUUAUUACUCAAAACACUUUAAAAGUAAUAAACGAAAAUAUCUUAAAUUUGUUCUCAAAACAAUUCAUCUUUAAAAUAAUUUUUCAAAAAACUAUUUUUUUUUUCAAAAGUCUAUUAAAAUUGUUUUCUAAGUUAGAAAAUUGCUUUCAAUUAUAAAAAUAGAGGUUGUUCAAAAAUGUUUUUGAAAACAAUAUUAAAAAAUAUUUGUAUGAUAAUUUCUAAAACAAAAUUUUGUUUAUAAAUUUGAAAUGUUUUAAUUUAUUUUGUGUAUUUAAAUAUUCCUUAAAAAUAUUUUUUUUAUAUGUAUUGAUUGUUAUUUAAAAAAGUUUUAAAAAACAAGAAAAACCAUUAUAUAUUCUAAAGAAAAUAAAUCAUAUUUUUAUAAUAAUUCUCAAAAACCUAUUUUGGGAUAACCAAUAAAAAAACAAAUUUUGAUUUUUUUUUUUUUGUUAAAAUAGCUCAAAAAUAUAACCUAAAAGGUUGUUUUCAAAAAUAGUUUUAAAAUAUAUCCUUAGCAUAUGGAUUUGGUAUCAUAUCAAAACUCAAAAUAUGAAUCUUUAUGUGUAUGAUUAAAAAUAUAUCACUAAGUAAAAAUAUAAAAAAAAAUGAAAUAUUUAUAUAAAUAUAUAGGACCAAAUUAUCAGGGAAAAAAAACAUUAAAAGUAUAAACAAAUGAAAUUUGUAGUUUUUGUAUAAACAUUUUAGCCUAAGUAGUGUUAUAUAUAUAUAUAUAUAUAUAUAUAUAUAUAUAUAUAUAUAUAUAUAUAUAAAGGCUUAUUUGGUAAUGGCUAAUAAUAAGUUCUAUUUGGAAAACAUUUAUUUAUUUACAAAAAAACAGAUUUGAUCAAUUUUUAUUAUUAUUGAAUAUAUAUAUAUAUAUAUAUAAUAACAAAUUUGAGUUGUUUUAGAAAAACAAUUGAAAAUAUGAUAUUUAAAAAAAUUUUACAUUAUGUAUUAUGUACAGGUGUAUAAUACAUGGAAUAAGCUUUCCAAAUUAAAUUCUUUAAGAAAAUUUUGUUUGUAAAAUAAAUUGAGAAGUAUUUUAUGUAAUAAGAGUUUUUUUUAAAAAAACUCUGUAAAAAUUUAUAUUUAGGAAAAUUGCUAAGUUAUCAAAUAGUUAUUAUAUCAACCACUAAAUCUAAAUUAUUGAUCUUCAUAAUUAAAUUUGAAUGAUUGAAUAAAUGUAACAUGAAAUGGGAUCAUAAUGGAAAAUUAGGAAUCAGGUAUAAAAGAAUAAGCUUCUCAAAUGGAAAUUCAUUCAAUUAUAAAUUUCUCCAUUUUUGGAUAUAUUUUUCAAUCACAAUUCUAUAGUUUUUUAUACGAUUUAUCUUUAUUUAAAAAAUAAAAUAAAACAUGCCUUUUUCUUCACUGUAAUUCGUUGAAUCAAAUUUUUAUAAGAUUUAGUAAUUAUUUUAAAUUAGAAAUUUCAAACAAAAAAAUCGGAUAAUAUAAAAUUAGGUAGAAAUAAAUACAAAUAAAUCUAUUUUACACGUGGUCGUUUAUUAUUGGGCAUAUCGAAAAUAAUCAAAAUACACCACUUUUAAAUCUCACUCCCCACAUGCAAGGACGAUUCCAAAUUUCCAACUUCAUGGAACCACACCUCGUAGACCCGAGCAAGUCUCCUCGUCCGUACGUCUCGCCCCUUUUUUUUCUCUUUCUUUAGUUGAUGUCGAUUCCGUUGAUUGCUUACUUCCUUCACAAGUUUUGCUUCUUUACUAAGUUUCUCACAUUCUAGUCCACACAAAACGACGAUGGAUUGGACAUUCUUUAAAUGCGUCUCUUUUAUAUAUGUAGACACUUCUGUGUGUUGCCAUUCAGUGCCCUUGGCAUCUUUCUACUGAGAGUGAAGACUGAGAGUGCUUUGUGUGAAUCGAGAAGGAGGAGUGGUCGUAAUGGCGACGCCGGAGGAGCAUAUAAAGGAGAUAAGGAGGACGAAGUUCUCGAUUGGAGGAGAGCUGAAUCCGCUGACGGAGGAUCUUCACCAGGCGGUGAAGAAUCUCUCAGCUGAGCUUUACGCUAAGGAUGUUCAUUUCCUCAUGGAACUCAUUCAGGUCUGUGCUUUAUAUGUUUGUCUUGUUGUUUUUAGAGAUGUGAUGAGCACUCUGCGUUGUAUGCAGCCAUUGUUUUGUCAUGUUAUUUAAAAUUUUGAGCGCUUUGAGCGCUGCUCUGUUCCUCUGCUAGAAAACCAAGGAAAAUGACGGUUAUGAGACUUUUGAAUAUUUUGUUUUCUUUAUAUGGUAUUUGUUUCUUGGAGAUGACUAACUAGAGAUUCAUAAUUAUAUGAUAUAUCUUUGAAGUAAAAAUCAACUUAGGAAAGUAUAUGAUAUAUUUAUAAUUUGAUAUUUUUAAAAUUUAAAAAGGAGAUGAAUAUUAUUAUACAAGUAUAAAAACACUAAAUCAGGUUUGGUUUUGGUUCGUAUUGAGAAAACUUUAACACAAGUUCAACCCAAAUAUUAAAUCGGUGCACUAACUUUCUGAAGAAUAUGUUACUUAUCUAUUAUUCUAAUUCGAUCAUUAUGAUCGGAAAGUGAAGUGAUAUGGAUUGAGAAUUAGUUUUGCACUAACUUUUUGAAGAAUAUGUUACUUAUCUAUUAUUCUAAUUCGAUCAUUAUGAUCGGAAAGUGAAGUGAUAUGGAUUGAGAAUUAGUUUUGUUACAUUCAAACUUCGGUUACAUUUUUUUGGUCUUGGAAAAUCUAAAUGUGAAGAAAUCACAUAUUCUAAAUUUUACAUAACAGAAUGCAGAAGAUAAUGACUACCCGGAAGGUGUAAAUCCAUCACUGGAGCUCGUUAUAACUUCACAGGACAUAACUGGCACUGGAGCAUCCGCGACAUUGUUGAUUUUCAACAACGAAAAAGGGUUUUCAGCUAAAAAUAUUGAGUCUAUCUGCAGUGUUGGGAGGUCCACCAAGAAAAACAAUAGGAAGUGUGGCUAUAUUGGAGAGAAAGGUACCUUCAUUUUUUUACUCUUUCGCUCAUAUCUCUCCAUCUUCCAUGCUGUAAAUUUUAAAACGAAACAGAGCAAGCUCUAACUCUCUGUCUGCAAAAAGAAAUUCUUUCUUUUCGAUAAUCCCUAGUCAACGAUAGACUGUCUCCCGAUUGUCUCUGUGAAACAAUCGGAAGACAACAAGGAUUAGAUAAAAUGAGAAAUAGAGGUAUGUGAUAGUAGAAAGUGAUCUAUCUUGGUUCUAUAUUUUUAUGCAUUUCAUUAAUACUGGGAACAAAAGAAACAAGGGGUCUUAUUAUUCUUACAUGUUCAUUAGUAACAUUCCCUUGAUACUUUCCAAGGGUAUCACUCGUAUUUUGCUUAUGCUUAAUGUUUUCUGAUUCUACUAGAAAUCUUAUAAGAACUUGUUUUGUUAUAAGUGGAUUUAUGGGAUUGGUUCUUCAAUGGUCUUGGGUCAGAAUCCUAUUUUGACUCUGCAUCAUCGAUUCCACUAUUAUUAGUGAGCAAUAAUGGAAAAAUUCUUUCAUAUUCAUAGAAAUAAGGGACAUAAUUUACAUGGAUAUAGUAAGUUUCGCUUGGGCUGCUUUAAUGGUAGUCUUUACAUUUUCUCUUUCACUCGUAGUAUGGGGAAGAAGUGGACUUUAGAGGUACUAUUGAUUCAGUUGAGAAUCUUUAACUACAGAUCAAGUAUAUCCUCAAUUCUUAGAACCUCUAGUGUAGAAACACUUUAUUCAUGUCAAAAAGUUAGCUUAAUCAAUUCAGCUAGACACCCCAACUUUGGUCUUUACUAAGUCAACCUUCUCCUUUGCUUAACUUGCUAGCCUAAGAUGUACACGACUUAAAAGCUAAAAUGAAAACUGUGGGCAAGACUUUUGGUCUUUACUAAGUCAACCUUCUCCCUUGCUUAACUUGCUAGCCUAAGAUGCACACGACUUAGAAGUAUUUCUUAUACAACUUGUCGUCUUGCUAAUAUGCAGGAAUUGGGUUCAAGAGUGUAUUUCUAAUCACAGCACAACCUUACAUAUUCAGUAAUGGAUAUCAGAUACGAUUCAAUGAAGAGCCUUGCCCGCACAGCAAUCUUGGGUACAUAGUCCCUGAAUGGGUUCAGUGGAAUCCAACUCUUGAUGACAUAAAGCAAAUAUACGGUUCUCAUGCAGUCCUUCCAACCACUACCAUAAUCUUGCCUCUAAAGCCUGACAAGAUCGGCCCUGUGAAGGAACAGCUCUCAAGUAUUCAACCUGAAGUUCUAUUAUUUCUUUCAAAGAUUAAGCAGUUUUCUGUCAAGAAACAUAAUGAGGAUCCCAGGCUCAAUACGGUGAAUGCUAUAUCUAUUUCAAGUGAAAUUAACUUUGUUAAAAGGAAGAAUAUUGAUGCUGAUUCCUAUAUUCUCCAUCUCUCCACGGAUGGAGCUAAGGAUGUGACUGAAAAAGAAUGCAGCUAUUAUAUGUGGAGGCAGAAGUUCCCUGUCAGGCAGGAAAAUCAAGUAGAAAGAAGACUUGGAGUGGAGGAGUUGGUUAUUACGCUGGCAUUUCCAUUUGGACAGCGACUGAAUAGAGGGAUAAGCUCUCCAGGAGUCUAUGCAUUUCUUCCCACGGAGAUGGUUACAAAUUUUCCUUUCAUUAUUCAGGCAGAUUUUGUUCUUGCAUCAUCCAGGGAAACAAUCCUCUUGGACAACAAAUGGAACCAAGGCAUUCUAGAUUGUGUGCCUUCUGCUUUUCUUAAUGCCUUCAUUUCACUGGUUACAACAUCACAAGAUGUUCCAGUCUCUACACUGACCCCAAUGUUUAAGUUCUUGCCUAUCUACAGCUCUCCUUAUCCAAAGCUCAAUGAUGUGAGGGAGUUGAUCAAAGCAGAACUGCUUAAGAAGAAUAUCGUACCAUGUGAGUCGUAUUCAGACCAGAAGAUCUUUCGUAAACCUUGUGAAGUGGGUAGGUUAAUGCCUUCUUUCUGGAAUAUCCUGAAAAAGGCAAGGAAGCAAGGGGUAAGUUUGCAUUCUCUGUCAUCCCAUGGAAAGUAUAUUCUGAAUUCUUCAUUUGAUACAGAGGAGUACGAUCACAUAUUGAAUUUCCUUGGUGUGGAACCUGUCAAUAGCGAAUGGUAUGCCAAGUGUAUCAAGAGUUCCAAUCUUGUUUUGGGAGUGACAGAGGAUGGUUAUUUGGAGCUUCUACUCUUUAUUGCUGAGAAAUGGAGUUCCUCUUUCUACAGCACCGACAUGAAGAAUGUUCCUCUCCUAAAAUAUGUUGGUCCUGAUGGAAAUGUUGUUUUGUGCGCUACAAGCAAUGUCACAAUGUGGAAUGGUGAAAGUACGAUUUGUAUGUCCCGUGAGUCUCAGCAUAUUUCAUGGUUGAUAGACUGGAACAGGGAAUUUAGACGUGUGACAGAUCGAUAUUUUGUGCCCAAAAGCACACAAGAAGCUAUCAGGUCUUUUUUUAAGAGAGAGACUCUCUUGGAAUGGCUUCAAAAUCAAGUGAAGGUUCGGGCUGUAAGUGUGAAAGACUUUGCAGUCAUUCUUUGUAAUUCUCUUAAGGGUGACCGACAGCUUGCUAUCGCCUAUGUUCACUUCCUUUAUCAUUCCCUCUCGAAGAGUUAUCUACCAAAGGGGGAUGUUGACAAUUUGUGUGGUAUCAUGCCACUUGUAGAUAACUAUGGGCAUGUGAGCACUCAGAGAAAAGGGGUUCUCGUUCCUGCUAACGGAAGCAAAUGGGUGGGAUUAAUGGGUACAAAUCCGUGGAGGGGAGCAGGCUAUGUUGAGCUGGGAGAAGACUAUUUGCGCUCAGGCAGUUAUGCAGGUUUAUUCACAUCAGAGAUGCAACUAAUGACGUUUCUCAAAACUCAUGUUGCAGCUUCUGAUAUACCUCAUAUAUCUCCUCCCGACGCCGAGUUAUCUGCCGCAUAUGCACCACUCACCAAGCAAAAUGCAUUCUUGCUGUUGGACUGGAUUCACAACCUGAAAUAUAAGCAAGGUCUGCCAGCUAAGUUCCUGACAUCCAUUAAGAAGGGAAGCUGGUUCAAAAUUUCCCUCAGUGGCAGUCCUGGAUAUAGGCCACCAUCAGAGUCUUUCCUGCUUGCUUCAUCAGAUGAAAAUCUUCUGCAGGACGAGUCAGUAAUGGUUGAUAUUCCUUUGAUUGACCAAGGAUUUUAUGGAAAUGGCAUCAAUUGUUAUAAGGAGGAGCUCAAAACUGUUGGAGUAAUGUUUGAAUAUGGCGAAGCCUGUGAGUUUAUAGGGAGGCACCUCAUGUCUCUUGCAGCUUCCUCUGCGUUGACUAAAUCCAGUGUGUUUGAAAUACUCAAGUUCAUCAGAUUUUUGAGACUUAGAUUUCUUCCGGCUGAUAAAUUCAUCCAGAGUAUCAUAAAUGGAAGAUGGUUGAAGACUUCCUGUGGUCACAGGUCUCCAGUUGGAUCUGUUUUAUUUGACCAAGAAUGGAAAGCUGCAUCACAAAUCAGUGACAUCCCCUUCAUCGACCAAGAUCACUACGGCAAGGAAAUCCUUCGUUUCAAAAUGGAACUCCAAUUGCUAGGUGUGGUAGUUGGCUUCAACAAAAAUUACCAGCUUGUUACUGAUCACUUAAAGUCUCAAGCAUGCUCAAAUCAUCCAACAGCCGAGGCUAUUCUUUUGAUAUUUGAAUGCAUGCGUGAUUGUGAGCGCAAUUCAAGAUCAGCCCAUAAACUUAUACAGGCGCUUAAAGGUAAUAAAUGCUUGAAGACGAACAUGGGCUACAAGUUUCCUAGUGAAUGUUUCCUGUUUAAUACUGAGUGGGAUUCGCUUCUGAAAGUCUUCCAUAAUGAUUUCCCACUUAUUGAUGAAGACUUCUAUGGGACCAGCAUCUUGUCUUACGAAAAAGAGUCGAGGCAAGCGGGAAUAGUGGUGGAUUUUGAAGCAGCGACUCAGAAAUUUUUAGCUGUUUUCAAGAAGCAUGCAUCCUCGUCUUCCAUUGGAAGAGAACAUGUUCUGUCUUUUCUCAGGUCUUACAGACAGAUUGAUAAGACAAACAAGUUUCCUUCAGAUUUUAAGCGCGACAUCUGUCAGGCAAAAUGGCUGCAAACACGGCUUGGUGUUCCUAGAUCACCGAGAGAGUGCAUUCUUUUUGGCCCGGAGUGGGAACCUGUAAGUUCAAUUACUGUGCUUCCUUUCAUUGAUGAUAGUGACAAGUACUAUGGCAAGAGAAUUCAUGAAUAUAGUAAAGAGCUGAGGAGCCUGGGUGUUACCAUCAAGUAUAAAGAUGGGGUGAGGUUUGUGGCUGCAGGUGUCUACUUUCCCCAAGAUCCCAGCACCAUAACUCCUGAAAGUGUGUUCUCUCUGCUGCAGUGCAUCCAGAUAUUAAUGAAAGAUGGUUAUACUUUGACUGAUGCUUUCCGGAAAAAGGUUUCUCAAAGUUGGUUAAAAACCAAUGCUGGGUAUAGGUCUCCAGGCCAAAGUUUGUUGUUUGGCUCUGAGUGGGGUUCUUUCUUACACAGAAACGAUGGACCUUUCAUUGAUGAAGAAUUCUAUGGCCCCAACAUUACAGCCUACAAGAACGAGCUCGAAGAAAUAGGAGUGACCAUUGAUGUGUUAAAUGGGUGCUCUUUGCUUGCUGGCUAUCUUGAUUUUCAUUCUGAAUUUUCAACCAUUGUUCGAGUCUAUAAUUACUUGAAUAAACACGGCUGGUCGCCUUGCAAUGAUACUCCUAGAAGGAUCUGGAUCCCUAAUGGGAGUGACAGUGGAGAGUGGGUUAGUCCUGAAAAAUGUGUUAUUCACGACAAGGAUGGUCUCUUCAGUUCACGACUGAAUGUUUUAGAGAAACACUAUAAGCCGGAAUUAUUCAGCCUUUUCUGCAGAGUCAUGCAAGUUAAAUCCAAUCCUUCUAUUGAUGACUACUGCGAACUUUGGAAUAACUGGGAAAAUUCAAGGGAGCAAUUGUCACGUUCGGAGUGUUGUGCUUUCUGGGCCCAUGUUUCAAAGCACUGGAGUAAAAACACACAGAAAACCCUUGCCGACAGAUUGUCAAAACUGCCAGUUGAAUCAGGAUCGGAGAGAAUAAUGCUGUUUGACAAACGUGAUGUUUUCAUUGCAGAUGACCUCCAGCUGAAGUAUCUUUUCCAACAAUCUUCGCCUCACUCAAUAUUUGUGUGGUAUCCCCAGCCAAGCAUCCCUUCCUUGCCCCGGACUAAGCUGCUUGACAUCUACAGGGAAAUUGGUGUUCGUUCUAUCUCUAAAUCUGUACAGAA